Long non-coding RNA from Centruroides sculpturatus (bark scorpion), 375 nucleotides. RefSeq lists it as uncharacterized. NCBI's taxonomy places the organism in Eukaryota, Metazoa, Arthropoda, Arachnida, Scorpiones, Buthidae. The record is from RefSeq and is a predicted model, not a curated record. The transcript has 3 exons.
UUUAGGCAAUUUUUUUCUAUCUGAAUUAAUAAAGAAUUAGUUGAUCGAGUGACUGUACUGUACGUCCUGGAUUUCUCCUGUUUUUAACCCUCAAAAAUAGAAUAAAAUUUGAAAAAAGAACCAUUUUAUACGUCUUCUAAUGCGAUAUAACCAAUUUAUAUAAACAAUAAAUCAGAUAUGAACCAAUCAGAAAAGACUGACGUCACAAGUCGAGAAACAAAACGGAACAUUUAAAGUGGAGUUAGACGUGAACCCAGUUUAAGAACGUCGAGAAAUAUCGUACGUAAUGCCCAAAAAAGACGGGAAAAAAUUAUUAAAAGAUUACAUAAUCCCGAAUUUAGACAAUAAGCGAUUUAACGAUAAAAUGAUUUUGUU